UUUAUAUUCCUAGAGAGCUCAACAUAGAGGCCGAUGCUCUAGCUAAAGGAGGCCUGCAUAGAGCUUUAUCAGCUUCAUAUUGGGAGUUAUGAUUAUUACGCUAAAGAUAUGGACUAGGGGAAAUCUUCUUGGAUGGAGAUUUAGAUUGUAAGGUCAUCUCAGCAUGGUUCUGAAUGAAAUAGCGAGGAGGCGACUAGAGUGAACAAGCAUGGAUGGUAAUACAGUGCUAUAUAGUUUAUGUAUUUGGGUGGUUAGUGGUGCUCAUAUAUGAGCAUCCAUUUUCUGGGAACUAGUUUAUCUUUAUUCUCGGGCUCAAGUUGGUUGUAGAGUCUGCCUUGAGUCAGGGCCGGCUCAACACUAAGGCGAGCUAAGCGGUCGCUUAGGACCCCAACCCUAAAAAGGGGCUCAAAAUUUUUCAUAAGUUUUACAUUAUUAUAUAUUAUGUGUUUUC
Molecule: long non-coding RNA, 451 nt
Filed under: Daucus carota (carrot)
Lineage: Eukaryota; Viridiplantae; Streptophyta; Magnoliopsida; Apiales; Apiaceae
Description: long non-coding RNA (DCAR_LNC005201)
Source: RNAcentral